GAUGAACGCUGGCGGCGUGCCUAAUACAUGCAAGUCGAGCGAACGGACGAGAAGCUUGCUUCUCUGAUGUUAGCGGCGGACGGGUGAGUAACACGUGGAUAACCUACCUAUAAGACUGGGAUAACUUCGGGAAACCGGAGCUAAUACCGGAUAAUAUUUUGAACCGCAUGGUUCAAAAGUGAAAGACGGUCUUGCUGUCACUUAUAGAUGGAUCCGCGCUGCAUUAGCUAGUUGGUAAGGUAACGGCUUACCAAGGCAACGAUGCAUAGCCGACCUGAGAGGGUGAUCGGCCACACUGGAACUGAGACACGGUCCAGACUCCUACGGGAGGCAGCAGUAGGGAAUCUUCCGCAAUGGGCGAAAGCCUGACGGAGCAACGCCGCGUGAGUGAUGAAGGUCUUCGGAUCGUAAAACUCUGUUAUUAGGGAAGAACAUAUGUGUAAGUAACUGUGCACAUCUUGACGGUACCUAAUCAGAAAGCCACGGCUAACUACGUGCCAGCAGCCGCGGUAAUACGUAGGUGGCAAGCGUUAUCCGGAAUUAUUGGGCGUAAAGCGCGCGUAGGCGGUUUUUUAAGUCUGAUGUGAAAGCCCACGGCUCAACCGUGGAGGGUCAUUGGAAACUGGAAAACUUGAGUGCAGAAGAGGAAAGUGGAAUUCCAUGUGUAGCGGUGAAAUGCGCAGAGAUAUGGAGGAACACCAGUGGCGAAGGCGACUUUCUGGUCUGUAACUGACGCUGAUGUGCGAAAGCGUGGGGAUCAAACAGGAUUAGAUACCCUGGUAGUCCACGCCGUAAACGAUGAGUGCUAAGUGUUAGGGGGUUUCCGCCCCUUAGUGCUGCAGCUAACGCAUUAAGCACUCCGCCUGGGGAGUACGACCGCAAGGUUGAAACUCAAAGGAAUUGACGGGGACCCGCACAAGCGGUGGAGCAUGUGGUUUAAUUCGAAGCAACGCGAAGAACCUUACCAAAUCUUGACAUCCUUUGACCCUUCUAGAGAUAGAAGUUUCCCCUUCGGGGGACAAAGUGACAGGUGGUGCAUGGUUGUCGUCAGCUCGUGUCGUGAGAUGUUGGGUUAAGUCCCGCAACGAGCGCAACCCUUAAGCUUAGUUGCCAUCAUUAAGUUGGGCACUCUAAGUUGACUGCCGGUGACAAACCGGAGGAAGGUGGGGAUGACGUCAAAUCAUCAUGCCCCUUAUGAUUUGGGCUACACACGUGCUACAAUGGACAAUACAAAGGGCAGCGAAACCGCGAGGUCAAGCAAAUCCCAUAAAGUUGUUCUCAGUUCGGAUUGUAGUCUGCAACUCGACUACAUGAAGCUGGAAUCGCUAGUAAUCGUAGAUCAGCAUGCUACGGUGAAUACGUUCCCGGGUCU
This 1372-nucleotide ribosomal RNA is filed under the name uncultured bacterium. RNAcentral's name for it is "bacterial SSU rRNA". It matches the Rfam family "Bacterial small subunit ribosomal RNA", at positions 28 to 1381 of the family's 1533-position model. The record is from RNAcentral.